AAAGGCUGGGAGAGGGGGCACUGGCCCCGGGAGCGGGGUCCCCUCCGCGCCCCCCGUGGGGCGUCGCUGCGCAGGGGGCGCGGGCGGUGCCGAAGGUGAAGCCGGCAGAGAGGGAACAAAGGCGGCGGGGAACAAAGAGCGGCAGCCUCCCAGCUAGGAACUGCUGGAGCCCUGUGCUCAGACUAAUGCUCUCACAGGUAUAUGGGCACUGCCAGCAAGGCUAGCAAGUGACUGCCAUGGCUCAGCCACUGUGGAAGAUGACCAGCUAGAAGCUGGGUGAGCAGGGCUCUCACCUACUGCCCACAGGUGUCCGAAAUGAGCUGCCUGGAUGGAUGCACAGGGCGCUGGGCAAAAGCCCUGCAGAGCAGCACUGCAGGCUACAAGCGGCGAUGGUGAAGGUAACUGUGGUGGGGAUGAGAAGCCCUCACAAUUCCUGCAUGCCUCCUGAACAAGCGCGUAUGAUAGUCCAGUGGUGUGUCUUGCCCCAGCCUUCCCACACCACCCUGAAGAGCAAACUCACAGAGCUGGAUGUCUUUUGUACAAGGCAUGCAGGUAUCUCGCACUCGCAGGUCCCAUGGAUGAACGGCGUGAGCUUCAUGGUGGGACAUCCCCUUUAUAAUGCAGAAUUUGCACAACUAGAUUCCAACAUCGGAGGGAAAUCAAAUGCCCCAAGUCCACUGGAUAAAGUGUUAAUUCUGAAGGAUAGUGAUGGCUGCGUAAACUAAGUUUGUUUGGAAACUCCAAGUCAUGUUUACUCUGUAGUCUGCCAGAACAAACCUUUGGCCUGGUGACCCUCCUCCUUCCCCUGUGUGCAACCCCCUGGGCCAUGCUGGCACGGUGUGUACGCUGGAGCUGGGAGCCAUAUUGAGGUUAGCCCAGAAGAAUACUUUGUUUUCAGCUGGAUUGCUCCCAGGAUUCGAUUGCAGUAUGGACACACAAAGAGGUAUGUCAGCACGACUAAGGGUGCAGCAGGAUCCAGCACAGAGACUGGAAAGCAUGGCAUAAGCUGGAGCUGGGAACAGGACUGUAGAGCAAAAGAACAAGGGACCAGCACCAUGCCAGAAAUCUUCCACCCUGCUGGUGCAGCAACACUGAGGAAAUAACGCCGUGGUUCUACAGACAUCAUUUUUGGUGGCAGCACUUUGAUGGAGCAGUUGGGUUAUGCUCCCUCCCUUGUGCUGGUGCAGCUCUUUGUGUCGUUCUGUCAUCAAAUGGACCAGAGACUGCUUAAAAAAAGCAGCACCCUCCCCACCGCAGUUAUUUUUACCUUGACUCAGUUUCAAGGCACAAUUCACCUGUUUCUACCCAGGUGCAACUGGAGGGAGAAUGUUGGAGUGGGCAAGUGUAGCCAGGAGCAGGCAAACAGGGGUCUGCCUAAAUCCACAGUGCCCCUCCAAAAAAAAAAAAAAAAGCCCAUGGCCUAAUG
Falco peregrinus (peregrine falcon) is the source of this 1426-nucleotide long non-coding RNA. RefSeq lists it as uncharacterized. Lineage: Eukaryota; Metazoa; Chordata; Aves; Falconiformes; Falconidae. The record is from RefSeq and is a predicted model, not a curated record. The transcript is spliced from 2 exons.